AUUUCAUUUCAUAAACUUCUGGGCUUUUACAAUUGGUAUUAGAGUCGCAUUCCUCGGAUCCAUUCCUUGCAUAAAAGAUUAGAAUCAUUCAAUACAACCCAACUCUCAACCUUUGUUGUGAAAUGCAGGUAUAAGGACAUGAGAAGAGGAAGGCCCCCACUAAACAGAGUAGCCCGAGAUAGGUCACUUCAAGAGGAUGUCGAUCGGCUCUUCGAGAUGCUGAAGAGACUCAUCUCUACCUAGCAGGCCAGGGAAGAGAGAAGGGAGCUGUUUGACCCUCCACCACUGCC
RNAcentral lists this long non-coding RNA (290 nucleotides) under Carica papaya (papaya). Its description in RNAcentral is "long non-coding RNA (CPAP_LNC001388)". Lineage: Eukaryota; Viridiplantae; Streptophyta; Magnoliopsida; Brassicales; Caricaceae. The record is from RNAcentral.